RNAcentral lists this ribosomal RNA (398 nucleotides) under uncultured bacterium. RNAcentral describes it as "partial 16S ribosomal RNA". It matches the Rfam family "Bacterial small subunit ribosomal RNA", at positions 360 to 776 of the family's 1533-position model. The record is from RNAcentral.
AAUAUUGCACAAUGGGCGAAAGCCUGAUGCAGCGACGCCGCGUGAGCGAAUAAGGCCUUCGGGUCGUAAAGCUCUUUCCUAAGGGAAGAAACGGACGGUACCUUAGGAGGCAGCACCGGCCAACUCCGUGCCAGCAGCCGCGGUAAUACGUAGGGGGCGAGCGUUAUCCGGAAUUACUGGGCGUAAAGGGUGCGUAGGCGGUCUUUUAAGUCAGAUGUGAAAGGCUACGGCUUAACCGUAGUUAGCAUUUGAAACUAAAAGGCUUGAGUGCAGGAGAGGAGAGUGGAAUUCCUAGUGUAGCGGUGAAAUGCGUAGAUAUUAGGAGGAACACCAGUGGCGAAGGCGACUCUCUGGACUGCAACUGACGCUGAGGCACGAAAGCGUGGGUAGCGAACAGG